UCUUCCUCCUCUUCGUUCUCUCCGCGUGUCCCGUGCUCUCUCGAUCCUCUCAUCUCUUCUCGAGGGCUCCCGUCGAAUCCGGUGCCACCGCCCACCGUCGUAGGUGACUAUAAAAAGAUCCUUCUCCCCGACGGUCCCUACCUCAACUCCUUCCCACCCCAUCCCUCUCCUCCGCCCCCGCCAUCUUCUCUCGGUGUGGCCAUAUGGCAUAUGGGAAGCGGGCAUGGAGGGCACGGCUGGGGCGGGGCCACCAGGGGCAGCCAUCUCCAUCACCGCAUCAUGAUUCCGUCUCGGAGCAGCAGCGGAGGCGAUGUUCCGGCAUCCUCUUUCCCAACCGUCGAGGAGGACUGCCGCGGCUCUUUCCAUGGGGCUUCCGAGAUGUUGACCGGGUUCUUGCACCGGCGGCUGCCUGAGAGGGACGCCCAGAGAUACAUGGCCUUGAAUUGGACCAUCACCAGCAUCUGACCCUCUUCGUGGUGGCCAUGAGGUAGGGCGUCGUCGAGACCCAGUCCCGCAAGUUGCAGUUCACCUGAUUCGAUUGGUUCUUUAUUAUUUUGUACACAAGAAGACACGUUCCCAUGAUGAAGUUGAGUAUGUAUGCACAAGCCUCACCUUACGUGAGAGGAAUUGUGUACCAUAUGGUGUGGAUACGACUCGAGGGUUCGUUUUUUGAAUCCCAGGCUGAUGUUUUACUCUGCCUUUCUUAGUUUAUGGGAGUUAUUUGAUUCCAUAUAGACCUCACAAUCGACUGUCGAUUUUCUUCGCUUUGGAGCUUUUGACAAGGAAUAUUAAUGUUUCAACAUGUCACUAUAUAUGUUGGUUAUGUAAGUGCAUAUGGACUACAAAAGGUGAACUCACAUGAGUAUUACUCGACUUGUUGUUGUGAGCGUAAAAUACUGCGGGUUGGUUGUCGCAGUACAUCUUUAAUGGUUUGUGAAUACAAUCUACCAUUUUCAAGUCGGGUACAAAUUUCUUUAGCCAUAUCGCCUGCCCUGUGGCUUCGAAGCAUGCUAUGAAUUUUGCAUACAUUGUGGAUGAUGCAACUAUCGACUGUUUGGAGCUUUUCCGCGAAAUAGCUCCCCAACAAGAGUAAAGACGUACCCUGAUGUGGAUUUUCUAUCAUCUCUGUCCCCCACAAAAUCUGUGUUUGAAUAUUCUUUUAUCUUUAGAGAAUCACUUCUCCUGUAUAUUAGCAUGUAGUCCUUCGUGCCUUGCGCAUAACACAAUGCUUUCUUUAUCAUCUUCCAGUGCUCCAUGCCUGGAUUCUCUUGAUAUCUAUCGAGUAUCCCGGUGAUAAAAAUUAAGUCAGGGCGAGUGCACACUUGUGCAUACUGUAAGCUGCCAACUGCCAAAGCAUAUGGUACUGCUUUCAUUUGAUCGAUCUCGUACUGAUUCUUGGGACAUUGGAAUUUUCCCAAAACUAUCAUCCUUAAUUAUAGGAGCUGGUGGGGCUUUA
This is a long non-coding RNA of Triticum dicoccoides, 1456 nucleotides long. RefSeq lists it as uncharacterized. Lineage: Eukaryota; Viridiplantae; Streptophyta; Magnoliopsida; Poales; Poaceae. The transcript is spliced from 3 exons. The record is from RefSeq and is a predicted model, not a curated record.